RNAcentral lists this ribosomal RNA (2928 nucleotides) under Klebsiella pneumoniae. RNAcentral describes it as "23S ribosomal RNA". It matches the Rfam family "Bacterial large subunit ribosomal RNA". Lineage: Bacteria; Pseudomonadati; Pseudomonadota; Gammaproteobacteria; Enterobacterales; Enterobacteriaceae. The record is from RNAcentral.
GGGUUGUGAGGUUAAGCGACUAAGCGUACACGGUGGAUGCCCUGGCAGUCAGAGGCGAUGAAGGACGUGCUAAUCUGCGAAAAGCGUCGGUAAGGUGAUAUGAACCGUUACAGCCGGCGAUGUCCGAAUGGGGAAACCCAGUGUGAUUCGUCACACUAUCGUUAACUGAAUACAUAGGUUAACGAGGCGAACCGGGGGAACUGAAACAUCUAAGUACCCCGAGGAAAAGAAAUCAACCGAGAUUCCCCCAGUAGCGGCGAGCGAACGGGGAGCAGCCCAGAGUCUGAAUCAGCUUGUGUGUUAGUGGAACGGUCUGGAAAGUCCGACGGUACAGGGUGAUAGUCCCGUACACCAAAAUGCACAGGUUGUGAACUCGAAGAGUAGGGCGGGACACGUGGUAUCCUGUCUGAAUAUGGGGGGACCAUCCUCCAAGGCUAAAUACUCCUGACUGACCGAUAGUGAACCAGUACCGUGAGGGAAAGGCGAAAAAGAACCCCGGCGAGGGGAGUGAAAAAAGAACCUGAAACCGUGUACGUACAAGCAGUGGGAGCACCUUCGGGUGUGACUGCGUACCUUUUGUAUAAUGGGUCAGCGACUUAUAUUCUGUAGCAAGGUUAACCGUAUAGGGGAGCCGCAGGGAAACCGAGUCUUAACUGGGCGUUAAGUUGCAGGGUAUAGACCCGAAACCCGGUGAUCUAGCCAUGGGCAGGUUGAAGGUUGGGUAACACUAACUGGAGGACCGAACCGACUAAUGUUGAAAAAAUUAGCGGAUGACUUGUGGCUGGGGGUGAAAGGCCAAUCAAACCGGGAGAUAGCUGGUUCUCCCCGAAAGCUAUUUAGGUAGCGCCUCGUGAACUCAUCUUCGGGGGUAGAGCACUGUUUCGGCUAGGGGGUCAUCCCGACUUACCAACCCGAUGCAAACUACGAAUACCGAAGAAUGUUAUCACGGGAGACACACGGCGGGUGCUAACGUCCGUCGUGAAGAGGGAAACAACCCAGACCGCCAGCUAAGGUCCCAAAGUCAUGGUUAAGUGGGAAACGAUGUGGGAAGGCACAGACAGCCAGGAUGUUGGCUUAGAAGCAGCCAUCAUUUAAAGAAAGCGUAAUAGCUCACUGGUCGAGUCGGCCUGCGCGGAAGAUGUAACGGGGCUAAACCAUGCACCGAAGCUGCGGCAGCGACACUAUGUGUUGUUGGGUAGGGGGAGCGUUCUGUAAGCCUGCGAAGGUGUGCUGUGAGGCAUGCUGGAGGUAUCAGAAGUGCGAAUGCUGACAUAAGUAACGAUAAAGCGGGUGAAAAGCCCGCUCGCCGGAAGACCAAGGGUUCCUGUCCAACGUUAAUCGGGGCAGGGUGAGUCGACCCCUAAGGCGAGGCCGAAAGGCGUAGUCGAUGGGAAACAGGUUAAUAUUCCUGUACUUGGUGUUACUGCGAAGGGGGGACGGAGAAGGCUAUGUUAGCCGGGCGACGGUUGUCCCGGUUUAAGCAUGUAGGCUGAUUAUCCAGGCAAAUCCGGAUAAUCAAGGCUGAGGUGUGAUGACGAGGCACUACGGUGCUGAAGUAACAAAUGCCCUGCUUCCAGGAAAAGCCUCUAAGCAUCAGGUAACAUCAAAUCGUACCCCAAACCGACACAGGUGGUCAGGUAGAGAAUACCAAGGCGCUUGAGAGAACUCGGGUGAAGGAACUAGGCAAAAUGGUGCCGUAACUUCGGGAGAAGGCACGCUGGUGUGUAGGUGAAGUCCCUGCGGAUGGAGCUGAGACCAGUCGAAGAUACCAGCUGGCUGCAACUGUUUAUUAAAAAACACAGCACUGUGCAAACACGAAAGUGGACGUAUACGGUGUGACGCCUGCCCGGUGCCGGAAGGUUAAUUGAUGGGGUUAUCCGUAAGGAGAAGCUCUUGAUCGAAGCCCCGGUAAACGGCGGCCGUAACUAUAACGGUCCUAAGGUAGCGAAAUUCCUUGUCGGGUAAGUUCCGACCUGCACGAAUGGCGUAAUGAUGGCCAGGCUGUCUCCACCCGAGACUCAGUGAAAUUGAACUCGCUGUGAAGAUGCAGUGUACCCGCGGCAAGACGGAAAGACCCCGUGAACCUUUACUAUAGCUUGACACUGAACAUUGAGCCUUGAUGUGUAGGAUAGGUGGGAGGCUUUGAAGCGUGGACGCCAGUCUGCGUGGAGCCAACCUUGAAAUACCACCCUUUAAUGUUUGAUGUUCUAACGUUGGCCCCUUACCGGGGUUGCGGACAGUGUCUGGUGGGUAGUUUGACUGGGGCGGUCUCCUCCCAAAGCGUAACGGAGGAGCACGAAGGUUAGCUAAUCCUGGUCGGACAUCAGGAGGUUAGUGCAAUGGCAUAAGCUAGCUUGACUGCGAGCGUGACGGCGCGAGCAGGUGCGAAAGCAGGUCAUAGUGAUCCGGUGGUUCUGAAUGGAAGGGCCAUCGCUCAACGGAUAAAAGGUACUCCGGGGAUAACAGGCUGAUACCGCCCAAGAGUUCAUAUCGACGGCGGUGUUUGGCACCUCGAUGUCGGCUCAUCACAUCCUGGGGCUGAAGUAGGUCCCAAGGGUAUGGCUGUUCGCCAUUUAAAGUGGUACGCGAGCUGGGUUUAGAACGUCGUGAGACAGUUCGGUCCCUAUCUGCCGUGGGCGCUGGAGAAUUGAGGGGGGCUGCUCCUAGUACGAGAGGACCGGAGUGGACGCAUCACUGGUGUUCGGGUUGUCAUGCCAAUGGCACUGCCCGGUAGCUAAAUGCGGAAGAGAUAAGUGCUGAAAGCAUCUAAGCACGAAACUUGCCCCGAGAUGAGUUCUCCCUGAGACUUUAAGUCUCCUGAAGGAACGUUAAAGACGAUGACGUUGAUAGGCCGGGUGUGUAAGCGCAGCGAUGCGUUGAGCUAACCGGUACUAAUGAACCGUGAGGCUUAACCUUACAACGCCGAAG